CUGCGCGUACGUCAACCAAGGUGUGCACAUAGGCAGUCAGCCUGGAAAGUGGAGACAUGGCUCGUGCAGAUCCUCAUUGGCGUACAUGUGCGAGCGGUCGCCCGACGACUGCCCGGACGUAUGGCCGUGUUCCUACAAAGACUUGGGUUACACUUACAGUCGAGUGGAGACUUCCUACUGUGACUCUAACGAGAUCCUGUACAAGGACUCUUGUUAUCACUUUGAGGGGACGCCUA
Syngnathus acus (greater pipefish) is the source of this 236-nucleotide long non-coding RNA. RefSeq lists it as uncharacterized. Lineage: Eukaryota; Metazoa; Chordata; Actinopteri; Syngnathiformes; Syngnathidae. The transcript has 3 exons. The record is from RefSeq and is a predicted model, not a curated record.